UACGGAGGGUGCAAGCGUUAUCCGGAUUCACUGGGUUUAAAGGGUGCGUAGGUGGGCAGUUAAGUCAGUGGUGAAAUCUCCGGGCUUAACCCGGAAACUGCCAUUGAUACUAUCUGUCUUGAAUACCGUGGAGGUAAGCGGAAUAUGUCAUGUAGCGGUGAAAUGCUUAGAUAUGACAUAGAACACCAAUUGCGAAGGCAGCUUACUACACGUACUAUUGACACUGAGGCACGAAAGCGUGGGGAUCAAACGGG
RNAcentral lists this ribosomal RNA (254 nucleotides) under uncultured bacterium. RNAcentral describes it as "partial 16S ribosomal RNA". It matches the Rfam family "Bacterial small subunit ribosomal RNA", at positions 524 to 776 of the family's 1533-position model. The record is from RNAcentral.